RNAcentral lists this ribosomal RNA (228 nucleotides) under uncultured bacterium. Its description in RNAcentral is "partial 16S ribosomal RNA". It matches the Rfam family "Bacterial small subunit ribosomal RNA", at positions 568 to 795 of the family's 1533-position model. The record is from RNAcentral.
UGCGCAGGCGGAAUGGUAAGUCAGUGGUGAAAUCCUACAGCUUAACUGUAGAACUGCCAUUGAUACUGUCAUUCUUGAGUACAUAUGAAGUGGGCGGAAUGUGUCAUGUAGCGGUGAAAUGCAUAGAUAUGACACAGAACACCGAUAGCGAAGGCAGCUCACUAAAUUGUAACUGACGCUCAUGCACGAAAGCGUGGGGAGCAAACAGGAUUAGAUACCCUGGUAGUC